CGCAAGCCUGACGGAGCAACGCCGCGUGAGGGAUGAAGGCCUCUGGGCUGUAAACCUCUUUUCUCAAGGAAGAAGAUCCGACGGUACUUGAGGAAUAAGCCACGGCUAAUUCCGUGCCAGCAGCCGCGGUAAUACGGGAGUGGCAAGCGUUAUCCGGAAUUAUUGGGCGUAAAGCGUCCGCAGGCGGCCUUGAAAGUCUGUCGUUAAAGCGUGGAGCUUAACUCCAUUUCGGCGGUGGAAACUACAAGGCUUGAGUGUGGUAGGGGCAGAGGGAAUUCCCGGUGUAGCGGUGAAAUGCGUAGAUAUCGGGAAGAACACCAGUGGCGAAAGCGCUCUGCUGGGCCAUAACUGACGCUCAUGGACGAAAGCCAGGGGAGCGAAAG
This 383-nucleotide ribosomal RNA is filed under the name uncultured bacterium. RNAcentral's name for it is "bacterial SSU rRNA". It matches the Rfam family "Bacterial small subunit ribosomal RNA", at positions 376 to 774 of the family's 1533-position model. The record is from RNAcentral.